ACGCUGGCGGCGUGCCUAAUACAUGCAAGUAGAACGCUGAAGCUUGGUGCUUGCACCGAGCGGAGGAGUUGCGAACGGGUGAGUAACGCGUAGGUAACCUGCCUCUUAGCGGGGGAUAACUAUUGGAAACGAUAGCUAAUACCGCAUAAAAGUCGACAUUGCAUGAUGUUGACUUGAAAGGUGCAACUGCAUCACUAAGAGAUGGACCUGCGUUGUAUUAGCUAGUUGGUGAGGUAACGGCUCACCAAGGCGACGAUACAUAGCCGACCUGAGAGGGUGAUCGGCCACACUGGGACUGAGACACGGCCCAGACUCCUACGGGAGGCAGCAGUAGGGAAUCUUCGGCAAUGGACGGAAGUCUGACCGAGCAACGCCGCGUGAGUGAAGAAGGUUUUCGGAUCGUAAAGCUCUGUUGUAAGAGAAGAACGAGUGUGAGAGUGGAAAGUUCACACUGUGACGGUAACUUACCAGAAAGGGACGGCUAACUACGUGCCAGCAGCCGCGGUAAUAUGUAGGUCCCGAGCGUUAUCCGGAUUUAUUGGGCGUAAAGCGAGCGCAGGCGGUUAGAUAAGUCUGAAGUUAAAGGCUGUGGCUUAAUCAUAGUACGCUUUGGAAACUGUUUAACUUGAGUGCAGAAGGGGAGAGUGGAAUUCCAUGUGUAGCGGUGAAAUGCGUAGAUAUAUGGAGGAACACCGGUGGCGAAAGCGGCUCUCUGGUCUGUAACUGACGCUGAGGCUCGAAAGCGUGGGGAGCAAACAGGAUUAGAUACCCUGGUAGUCCACGCCGUAAACGAUGAGUGCUAGGUGUUGGGUCCUUUCCGGGACUCAGUGCCGCAGCUAACGCAUUAAGCACUCCGCCUGGGGAGUACGACCGCAAGGUUGAAACUCAAAGGAAUUGACGGGGGCCCGCA
Molecule: ribosomal RNA, 910 nt
Filed under: uncultured bacterium
Lineage: Bacteria
Description: bacterial SSU rRNA
Rfam family: Bacterial small subunit ribosomal RNA
Source: RNAcentral